This 468-nucleotide ribosomal RNA is filed under the name uncultured bacterium. Its description in RNAcentral is "partial 16S ribosomal RNA". It matches the Rfam family "Bacterial small subunit ribosomal RNA", at positions 28 to 507 of the family's 1533-position model. The record is from RNAcentral.
GACGAACGCUGGCGGCGUGCUUAACACAUGCAAGUCGAACGGAAAGGCCCUGCUUUUGUGGGGUGCUCGAGUGGCGAACGGGUGAGUAACACGUGAGUAACCUGCCCUUGACUUUGGGAUAACUUCAGGAAACUGGGGCUAAUACCGGAUAGGAGCUCCUGCUGCAUGGUGGGGGUUGGAAAGUUUCGGCGGUUGGGGAUGGACUCGCGGCUUAUCAGCUUGUUGGUGGGGUAGUGGCUUACCAAGGCUUUGACGGGUAGCCGGCCUGAGAGGGUGACCGGCCACAUUGGGACUGAGAUACGGACCAGACUCCUACGGGAGGCAGCAGUGGGGAAUAUUGCACAAUGGGCGGAAGCAUGAUGCAGCAACGCCGCGUGCGGGAUGACGGCCUUCGGGUUGUAAACCGCUUUCGCCUGUGACGAAGCGUGAGUGACGGUAAUGGGUAAAGAAGCACCGGCUAACUACGUG